This 279-nucleotide unclassified non-coding RNA is filed under the name plant metagenome. Its description in RNAcentral is "partial contains small subunit ribosomal RNA, internal transcribed spacer 1, and 5.8S ribosomal RNA". The record is from RNAcentral.
UUUCCGUAGGUGAACCUGCGGAAGGAUCAUUACCGAGUGAGAGACCUCUGGGUCCAACUUCCCACCCGACCUUAUUCUACCUUGUUGCUUUGGGGCGCGCGCCUCACCGCCGCCGGGGGGCUUCUGCCCCCCGGCGCGUGCCCGCCGAAGACACCCUAGCACUCUGUCUGUAGAUUGUAGUCUGAGUAAACAUAUAUAUUUUUUAAAAAUUUCAACAACGCAUCUCUUGUUUCCCUCAUCGAUGAAGAAAGCAGCGGAUAGGAAAAGCACACACGUCAA